Molecule: ribosomal RNA, 468 nt
Filed under: uncultured bacterium
Lineage: Bacteria
Description: partial 16S ribosomal RNA
Rfam family: Bacterial small subunit ribosomal RNA
Source: RNAcentral
GACGAACGCUGGCGGCGGGCUUAACACAUGCAAGUCGAACGGAAAGGCCCUGCUUGUUUGGGGUGCUCGAGGGGCGAACGGGUGAGUAACACGUGAGUAACCUGCUCUUGACUUUGGGAUAACUUCAGGUAACUGGGGCUAAUACCGGAUAGCAUCUCCUGCUGCAGGGUGGGGGUUGGAAAGUUGCGGCGGUUGGGGAUGGACUCGCGGAUUAUCAGCUUGUUGGUGGGGUAGUGGCUUACCAAGGCUUUGACGGGUCGCCGGCAUGAGAGGGUGACCGGCCACAUGGGGACUGAGAUACGGCCCAGACUGCAAUGGGAGGCAGCGGUGGGGAAUAUUGCCCAAUGGGAGGAAGCCUGAUGCGGCAACGCCGCGGGCGGGAUGACGGCCUUCGGGUUGUAAAAAGCUUUCGCCUGUGACGACGCGUGAGUGACGGUAAUGGGUAAAGAAGCACCGGCUAACUACGUG